UACAGAGGCCCCAAGCAUUAUCCGGAAUCACUGGGCGUAAAGGGUGUGUAGGCGGCUUUGCUAGUCUUUUGUGAAAGAUCCCCGGCUUAACCGGGGAGACGCAGGGGAAACGGCAUCGCUUCGAGGGUAUGAGAGGUAAAGGGAACUCAUGGUGUAGGGGUGAAAUCCGUUGAUAUCAUGGGGAACACCAAAUGCGAAGGCACUUUACUGGCAUACUCCUGACGCUGAAACACGAAAGCGUGGGAAUCGAAUGGG
Molecule: ribosomal RNA, 255 nt
Filed under: uncultured bacterium
Lineage: Bacteria
Description: partial 16S ribosomal RNA
Rfam family: Bacterial small subunit ribosomal RNA
Source: RNAcentral